AACUAAAUAACACAUAUGGGUUUGCAGAACAUCUGCACUAAGAGGGAAACAGGAUAAGCCUGUGCGGUCCCGCCGCCGUAUGGUACUUGAUCGCCGACAUAGCCACUGGGAAACCGGGAAGGCUGGCGGUCUUAAUGACCAAGCCGGAAGACCUGCCCGUAUGGAAUCAACUUA
RNAcentral lists this non-coding RNA (174 nucleotides) under Youngiibacter fragilis 232.1. Lineage: Bacteria; Bacillati; Bacillota; Clostridia; Eubacteriales; Clostridiaceae. The record is from RNAcentral. RNAcentral also lists the same sequence under 1 other name.